This 50-nucleotide transfer RNA is filed under the name Bazzania sp. He-Nygren 569. RNAcentral describes it as "partial tRNA-Phe". Lineage: Eukaryota; Viridiplantae; Streptophyta; Jungermanniopsida; Jungermanniales; Lepidoziaceae. The record is from RNAcentral.
GCGGAAUAGCUCAGUUGGUAGAGCAGAGGACUGAAAAUCCUCGUGUCACC